CUUGGUUUUUUUUCAUUCCCCAUGUUUUCUUUAUGGCAUUGAUUUUGGUGAUUUUCUGUUUUCAGUGAAACUGGAAUCAUAUUUCUUGACUUCCACAUGGAAUUUCACUAGAACCUUUUCCACGUUUAUUUGAUGAUCACUCUGCUAGCUGUGACUGAAAUGGAUUAAGUUACCAACUUUUCAUUCGUUAAUCAUUAUCAAGAAGUACUUUUUAUGAG
This 218-nucleotide unclassified non-coding RNA is filed under the name Hevea brasiliensis (rubber tree). Lineage: Eukaryota; Viridiplantae; Streptophyta; Magnoliopsida; Malpighiales; Euphorbiaceae. The record is from RNAcentral.